This is a long non-coding RNA of Callorhinus ursinus (northern fur seal), 625 nucleotides long. RefSeq lists it as uncharacterized. The record is from RefSeq and is a predicted model, not a curated record. NCBI's taxonomy places the organism in Eukaryota, Metazoa, Chordata, Mammalia, Carnivora, Otariidae.
UCUGUGGUGGACGUGCAACCCUUUGCCCCUGCUCCCAUCGGCGGCCCCUCCCAGCUGGGGUUGUAAAGCCCUAUACUCAGGGCCUGUGUGCCGGUGGCUCUGCCCUAUCUUCUUCUGCGCCCUGGUCCUUCAGGCACAAUGGGACCUGGCUUCCCCCAACUGCUGCUCCUGCUGCCCCCGGUGGUGCUGUUGCUGUCCCUCCCCUUCCUGCUGGGCUUCCAGUAGAGACCCUGCUGCGCAUCGGGAAGUACUUUGGGGUCUGGCUCUAGACUAUUUCCAGAAUGGAAGAGUCAACAUCUGUAGGGCUUUCAUUACCCUGGGGUUUCCCAGGCUGGGCAAAGUGCCAUCCAGACUGAAGGGAGCCAACAAAGCUCUCUGAGGACAGACCAUGAAGAUGACAGUCUCCCGUAUGGAUACCAGGACCGUGGGGACCUCUCCGUGCCCUUCUUGAGACCAAGGGCUCAAAUUGGUUUUGAAUCCCACCGUGACACUGUAAACGAUUGUAGAGAGUUGGCCCUUCUUUGACCCGCUCAGUUACUCGUUUAGCCCUUUUCUGUGCCCCUGUAGCCUCAAAGGAUGGGGCCCCCCUGCCCCAGCACUGUUCAAGCCCCGAAGUCUGCUCCUC